UUGGACAGUGGGGCUGGAUGACAAACUUGUAAAGAGUGGCUACUGGUCAGCCACUGUGACUCACUAGACCAUCUUCACAGUGGACCUCUUCUAGUCCUUUGAAGACAUGAAGGUGUUGGCCCCAGGAUGCUCCCGUCAAGCCUUUGUGGGAAUGCUUGACGGAUGAACAAAGCACUUUGGCAGGAGUGGAAAGAUAUGUGGCGACACAUUCCAGAAGGCAUUCCGUGAGUGGACGUACUGGCAGUUUGAAAUAGACAAGCUUUGUGGAAGCAAUCUCCUCCAUUGUCCUGCCUGCUCACAGGAGAUGCAUGCUAUAUCAGUGGAUGGGAAUCACAAUCAAUACCGCUUCCGGAGAGCCUCAGGGUUUGGAGCCCACUCUAAAGAUGAACCCUUUAUCCUGACACCUCUGG
Coregonus clupeaformis (lake whitefish) is the source of this 410-nucleotide long non-coding RNA. RefSeq lists it as uncharacterized. The transcript is spliced from 3 exons. The record is from RefSeq and is a predicted model, not a curated record. Lineage: Eukaryota; Metazoa; Chordata; Actinopteri; Salmoniformes; Salmonidae.